This 253-nucleotide ribosomal RNA is filed under the name uncultured bacterium. Its description in RNAcentral is "partial 16S ribosomal RNA". It matches the Rfam family "Bacterial small subunit ribosomal RNA", at positions 524 to 776 of the family's 1533-position model. The record is from RNAcentral.
UACAGAGGGUGCAAGCGUUAAUCGGAAUUACUGGGCGUAAAGGGUGCGUAGGUGGUUAGAUAAGUCAGGUGUGAAAUCCCCGGGCUCAACCUGGGAACUGCGCUUGAUACUGUCUGACUAGAGUUUGGUAGAGGGUAGUGGAAUUCCGGGUGUAGCGGUGAAAUGCGUAGAUAUCCGGAGGAACACCAGUGGCGAAGGCGGCUACCUGGACCAAAACUGACACUGAGGCACGAAAGCGUGGGUAGCAAACAGG